GGCUCAGAUUGAACGCUGGCGGCAUGCCUUACACAUGCAAGUCGAACGGCAGCACGGGAGCAAUCCUGGUGGCGAGUGGCGAACGGGUGAGUAAUGUAUCGGAACGUACCUUUCAGUGGGGGAUAACGUAGCGAAAGUUACGCUAAUACCGCAUAUUCUGUGUGCAGGAAAGCAGGGGAUCGCAAGACCUUGCGCUGAUUGAGCGGCCGAUAUCAGAUUAGCUAGUUGGUGAGGUAAAGGCUCACCAAGGCGACGAUCUGUAGCGGGUCUGAGAGGAUGAUCCGCCACACUGGAACUGAGACACGGUCCAGACUCCUACGGGAGGCAGCAGUGGGGAAUUUUGGACAAUGGGGGCAACCCUGAUCCAGCCAUGCCGCGUGAGUGAAGAAGGCCUUCGGGUUGUAAAGCUCUUUCGGCCGGGAAGAAAUCGCAUGGGUUAAUACCCUGUGCGGAUGACGGUACCGGCAUAAGAAGCACCGGCUAACUACGUG
Molecule: ribosomal RNA, 491 nt
Filed under: uncultured bacterium
Lineage: Bacteria
Description: bacterial SSU rRNA
Rfam family: Bacterial small subunit ribosomal RNA
Source: RNAcentral